Molecule: ribosomal RNA, 492 nt
Filed under: uncultured bacterium
Lineage: Bacteria
Description: partial 16S ribosomal RNA
Rfam family: Bacterial small subunit ribosomal RNA
Source: RNAcentral
AGUGAACGCUGGCGGUAUGCCUAACACAUGCAAGUCGAACGGCAGCACACUAAGAGCUUGCUCUUACGGGUGGCGAGUGGCGGACGGGUGAGGUAUACAUCGUAAUCUACUUUUUCGUGUGGGAUAACGUAGGGAAAGUUACUCUAAUACCGCAUACGACCUACGGUUGAAAGCAUGGGAUCUUCUGACCUUUCGCGAUUGAAUGAGCCGAUGUCGGAUUAGCUAGUUGGGGGGGUGAAGGCCCACCAAGGCGACGAUCCGUAGCUGGUCUGAGAGGAUGGUCAGCGGCACUGGAGCUGAGACACGGACCAUAGUACUACGGGAGGCAGCAGUGUGGAAUAUUAGACAAUGGGCGCAAAUAUGGUACAGCCAUCGCGAGUCGGUGACGGCGACCCUCGGUUUGUGAUGACCUUUUGUUGGGAAAGAACCGCAGCAGGUUAAUACGAAGCUGGUCUGACGGUAACGAAUGAAGAAGCACCGGCUAACUACGUG